GUGUUGCAUUGCUUGGGAAAUUCAUUGCUGUACGUGAGCCAAAUAUUCGCUAUCUUGGUUUGGAAAAUAUGACUCGGAUGUUGAUGGUUACAGAUGUACAGGACAUCAUUAAAAGACAUCAAGCACAGAUUAUUACCUCACUGAAGGAUCCUGAUAUCAGUAUAAGGAGACGUGCGCUUGAUUUACUAUAUGGAAUGUGUGAUGUUUCAAAUGCAAAAGACAUAGUGGAAGAACUGUUGCAG
Molecule: unclassified non-coding RNA, 242 nt
Filed under: Hevea brasiliensis (rubber tree)
Lineage: Eukaryota; Viridiplantae; Streptophyta; Magnoliopsida; Malpighiales; Euphorbiaceae
Source: RNAcentral